GGCAUCAUGAGAGUCCAACUGUCUCUUAUAACAAAUCAAUUAAACUGAUCUCCCAGUACAAAAGCUGGAAUCCCCCUAUAAGACCAGAAGACCCUGUGAAGCUUCAAUUAAACUAUUAAACUUUAUAAUAACUAAUUUCGGUUGGGGCGACCUUGGAACAAAAAAGAACUUCCAAAUACGUGAUAUUACCUCACAACGGCUGACAAGCCACAGACCCAGUACUACUGAUUAAUGAACUAAGUUACUCCAGGGAUAACAGCGCUAUCUUCUUUAAGAGCCCAUAUCAAAAAGAAGGUUUACGACCUCGAUGUUGGAUCAGGACAUCCUAGUAAUGCAACCGUUUCUAAGGGUUCGUUUGUUCAACGAUUAAUAGUCCUACGUGA
Molecule: ribosomal RNA, 383 nt
Filed under: Causus resimus
Lineage: Eukaryota; Metazoa; Chordata; Lepidosauria; Squamata; Viperidae
Description: partial 16S ribosomal RNA
Rfam family: Bacterial large subunit ribosomal RNA
Source: RNAcentral